UCUUUGAUAACUGCCCUUCUUUUUGGGGCCACCAUGGCUUGCUGAUGCUGGACACCCUUCACCCUACCGGGGAAGGCACUGCCAUCUUAUCUGCGAUGCGAACAUAGAUAGAGCUCUACAGGGAGGGUAACAUUAGCACUCUACAGCAGGCCAUGGAGCAGGUGAUUAGAGAACCUGCAGGGCUUAUGACUAAUGUGGUUAUUGAAUCCAUUAGCCUAGUGAGGAAAUUAGUGUUAGAUCAAUCACUA
Molecule: long non-coding RNA, 248 nt
Organism: Thalassophryne amazonica
Lineage: Eukaryota; Metazoa; Chordata; Actinopteri; Batrachoidiformes; Batrachoididae
Exons: 3
Source: RefSeq, a predicted model, not a curated record